AAGUCUCUUUGGCCAUAUAAGGUGACAUGUACAGAUUCUGGGGAUGAGGACAUGGAUAUCUUUAGGGGCUGUACUCAACCUUGCAUGCUGGACCAGGGUGUGCAGUCACCAUUGAUGAAAGCUCAGUUUAUCACUCGCCAUUCCGAAAACACGUAAAGCCAGGGGAGGGCUGGGGGAGAUCCUCCUUCACUGGGGCUUGCAGGGACCAUGCAACCAUCUUGGGUGGAAAUAGGUCUUUCAAGGCUGUUGCUGCUACUCUUGCAAAACACACACACGCAUGCACACAUGCAUGCACACUCACACAUGCACACACACACACAUGCACACAUGCUCAUACACACACUCAUGGACACACACACUCACAUGCACACUCACACUCACACACACGUGCCACACCCACACUCAAAUGCAAAUGCACUAACACACACUCACAUGCACACUCCACAUGCUCACACACUCAAAUGCACUCACAUUCACAUGCACAUACACUCACACACACACUCAUGCACACACACUUUCACACACAUUCAUGCACUCACACUCACACACAUUCACAUGCACACUCACACACUCACAUGGACACACACCCUCUCACACACACUUACAUGCACACACACAUGCACACUUUCUUAUCUCUAGUAAGUCUGUCUCGCUGGUUACAUUUCAUGCCAGUUUAUUUUCUCCAGUAAAAACCCUAGGCUCUGUCACUAGGGCUGGUCUGAUUCGAAGGCCUUCACCAACCUCAGUGCCAUGUAGAAGGGAGAGCACUGGGAAUGACAGCAGGCACUGGAUUGUAGCCCUGUUUCUGCCAUUCAUAGUUUAACCUUGGCUAAGCCACUUCAUUUCUCCAGGCUCAGAUUCAAUGCCCCAGUAUGAGUUGGUCUAGAGCUGGAUUUCCCCAGAAUGUGGGGUAUAGCAUAACAGCUGCUCCUUGGAAAGAAAGGGUAUCUUGACCAAAUACACUGGGACACUGUUUCAGCGUGUAUAUACCUCCAUCCCUCUUGGAGAGUCAUAAUGCACAUAAACUUGACAAAGGCUCUGAGAAGUCCUACGUAAAUGCAGUUGGGUAACUCUUUAACCUAGUAUUUUGUAAACGUUUAAAAAUCACAGAACACCCUCACUUGUUUUUUUCUUUUUAAAUACUGAAGAGCAGACUUUGAGAAAUGCUCAUCAUGGUGGUCUCUAAGGAAAUCAGGAUUCCUGCCCCAUUACCUUGAGGGUGACUUUUGAAAUUGACAUGUUUUGCCAACAAGCUGACUCCUGAGAAAGGCAGAAAAUGUCCUAUGUUGCCUUACCUGGCCUCUUGGAGGCCUUGUUCAUCAUCAUUAAUCUUAAGGUGCCAGGCUUGCCAGCUGGAAUCCAUGAGCCAGCCCUGAUAGUGAGACGCCCACAUUAUAGAGGCCCUUCUCCCUGCCAUCCUCCCGUAAAAACUCAUUUUCAUUCCCCAAGGAUUUCUUCAUUGUCUUCUAGGAGCUUAGGCCUGGGGAUGGGGACAACAGAAAGACCUUGAGAAACUUAAUGUUUCUGUUGAGGAAAUGACCAUCUCCCCGCAAGCCAGGGAAAGGAAAAGGAACAAGCAGGCACUGAGCCUUGGCCAGGAGAGGGCUGUGCUCCCUUCAUUUUAGUUGAGCCUUGUGAACAUCUUCUAAGGUAAAGGUUACUCUUCCCUUUAGAAGACAAAAGCCCAAGGCAGAGAGAAGUUAAGUCACUUGUCCAAGGCCACUUGCUUAACUUGUGGCAGAAUCAGGAUUCAGCAUUACUCAGGUGAGGUAUAAGAAGGCAUGGCACAUACAGGUAGAGAGGGCCAGACCCAGGGGAAGAAGGAAGGUGCACACCAGGCUGGAGGAAUCUGGGGUUGUGGGGAGAGCCAUGGCUGGGAGACAAGAUAACAUCCAAGUUCAAGUCCUGGGUCUGUGCUGUUAGCCUUUCUGGUUUUCUCAAGUGAGGAGACUGGAAAUGACUCUCUUCUAGCUGUGACGUUAAUGAAUUCACUUCUAGUUAGGGGGUGAGACUUGAGCAGGUCUGGGAAAGAGAUUAGAAGGCAGAGGCAAGCAGUGACAAAAACCAGAACAUGAAGAAAAGCUUGUGUGCACCCAGAAAAAUAUUCAUUCAGUGCUAUCUGGCAGACACCAUGCUUGGACCUGUGGGUAUCACAGUGAACAAAACAGAUCCAAGCCCUGAUCUUCAUGAAGGUUACACACUUGAGGGGAGACACACGAAAAAAUGAAAAUUUUAGAAGGUGAUGAGUGUCAAGGAAAAAAAUAAUGCAAAGGAAAAGGAACCAGGAGUGGGGUUCUAUCCUAGAUAGGAUGGUCAGGGAAGGCCUCCAGUGAAGGUGAUAUGUGAGCAGAAACUUGAAGAUGACUGAGAAGUGGAUGGGGUAGAUUCUGGAGUAUUCUGAGCAGAGGAGUAGCCUGUGUGUAGGUACUGAGGUGCGUAGACGCUGUGGCUGCCAUCUUCAGGGAGGGACAAGGAGGAGAGUGAAGAAAUGAGGCUAGGAAUGUUGACCUCUUUCAGGUGAGGGAGGAGGAGAGUGAAGAGAUGAGGCUGGGGAUGUUGAGCUCUUUCAGUGUGCAAAAACUUGGGGAGAAAAUUCAGUGGUACAGGCAUUCUAUUUGUUGGAUAAAAAUAUUAGAAAUUUUAAAAUAAAAUGUUUUGUGGCUUAGUCCAAAAUUCUAGAGGACAUGAGCCUUUGUCCUUGGUUAGACUCUGUGUCCAAGAAACAAAUAGCAUCCCAAGAAUCGACUCUCCCUCUCUCUGGGGACCUAGGUACCACAUCUCUGUUCUGUUCUCUCAAGGAUAUCCAAGGCUCUGCUUAUGACUGAAGCAUGCACAGACAAUGGUUAGUAACAUUUGUCACAUUUUUACGUUGCUUUAUAUGACUUUUGUCAACAUGAAAGUGGAAACCAGACUCUCUACCAUCGCAUGAGUUGGAUUGUAAAAGUCAUGGGUUUCUUGUUCUUUAGAAUGGCUUUUCCUAGCAGUGGACUCCUCUGACUUUACAACCAAUGGUGUGCUCCUGAUUCAAUCACUUAAAUCACUCUGGGUGUUGGUUUAUUGGUCUGUCCGGUGGGUGGGUGUAGACUAGAUGAUUAGUAAACUUCCUUUAUUAAAUAGAUCUGAAAACCCCUGUUCUACCCUCUCUAGCAAACAACAUUCCUUCAUCCAGUGUCUGUCUUCUCAGAGGUCAAACUAGUAAUUAUCCAUCCCUUUUGCCUGUGUGUACGACAUGCAUAAUUCAUAGGUAGCCUUGCAAAAUGGAAACGGAAUGUCCAUUCCCCAGUUCCCACAUGACUAGUGCUCAUGCACCAGAAAGUUUACCAGGGACAAAUUCUGUUUUUCUUCCACCUCCAGCCCCUCUCAUUUCUACCAGCCUCCAAGGCGUCUAUAUAAUAAUCAAUUGCAAGACUAUUUAUCACCUGUUUAUACAAUGUUAGCUCUUGUAGUUCCAUAGCCUCAUGUGACAGCUAAGGAAACUGAGGCUCAGAGAGGUCGCUGACUUUCCCAAAGCCACACAGACAUGCCAUGGGGCGGGAACGAAACUGCAGUUUCUGAACACGAGCUGAGAUUCCUUCCCCAACCUCUUGUUGCCUCUAUUUUGCCAAGUGCUAACUGUGCCCUGCAAAUUAUAAGAUGUCUAAAAAUACGUUUUGAGGAUGAUGAUGGAGAACUCGGAAAAGAAGUUUUUUUGUUUUGUUUUUAAAUACGCCCUCAUAGAUCCAAUGCAGUUGAAACAGCGAUCAAAGCCAAUUUCCCUAGAAACACCAGAUCGAAAACACGUGGUGAGGCUCUGAUCUGUAGUGCUUCAUCCUAAACAAUACAUUUUACAAUCCCUGAAAAAUAAAGAAAAAGGAAGGACUC
Mandrillus leucophaeus (drill) is the source of this 3861-nucleotide long non-coding RNA. RefSeq lists it as uncharacterized. The transcript is spliced from 3 exons. The record is from RefSeq and is a predicted model, not a curated record. NCBI's taxonomy places the organism in Eukaryota, Metazoa, Chordata, Mammalia, Primates, Cercopithecidae.